This 2771-nucleotide long non-coding RNA is filed under the name Homo sapiens (human). RNAcentral describes it as "HSALNT0347271". Lineage: Eukaryota; Metazoa; Chordata; Mammalia; Primates; Hominidae. The record is from RNAcentral.
AAGUCACAGGUCCUACCCACAUUGAAGAGGAGGGGAAAAUAAGAGUGUAAUGCCAGAAACAGGGAUCAUGUAGUAUCACCUUAGGUUCAAUAUGUCACCAUCACUCUCCUUACGUUCUCUUAGAUUCCCAAUUUUCUUAUCAGUAUUAUCAGGGUAUGACAGAAUGAUGGUCAGACAUCUUUCAUGAGUUCAGGCAGCACCAUUUCUAAUGAGCACUAUUAUGGGAGUUUCACUUUUGUCACCCAGGCUGGGGAGCAAUGGCGCGACCUCGGCUCACUGCAACCUCUGCCUCCCAGGUUCAAGCUAUUCUCCUGCCUCAGCCUCCGGAGUAGCUGAGAUUACAGGCGCACGCCACCACGCCCAGCUAAUUUUUGUGUGUAGAGAUGGGGUUUCACCAUGUUGGCCAAAUUGGUCUCAAACUCCGGACCUCAGAUGAUGACGCCCUCUUCGGCCUCUCAAAGUGCUGGGAUUACAGGCGUGAGCCACCGCGCCGGCCUUUUUUGAAUCUUUACGCAGCGUAAGACAGCAGCAGCUUAAGUUUGAGCGCUAAUGGAAAACACAUCUAUUCUUUGCUGACCCCUAGUGUCCACAGCAAGUAAGCGUGGAAUCUAAAAAUCCCAAAGGAAAAACAUGGCAGUUUGAGAAAUGACAUUUUGUUUCAUUCAAAACAAGAAAGAAAGAAAAAAUGCGUUCCAAAAUAAAAUAAUUCACCUCCAGUAAAUUAUAUAGUUAGCACAGAAACAUACAUAAAGAAUGAAACAGAUAUUUUCAAAUUCAGCUUCUGCUUUUGAUAGAGGGUAAAUCUGAGGAAGACUUUUCAGGGCUAUGGAGCACAAUCUGAAUUGUUUUGUGGGAACCACUUCUUUCUCUCUGGCUACACUGGCCUCAAAUCUGUUCUACAAGCAUGUGAAGAUAAUCUUUGGGUUUUCAAAUCCUUCCAGCACUACCCGACCACCACUCUGGGCAGCAUCACCGCCAUCACCAGGACCAACAGCCUUGUCGACAUGACCACCCGCUGGGAGCAAGAAACAGGUGGUCUCCCCUCCAUGAGGCUGUGAGGACAAAUAAAUGUUACCUAAGCAAAGUGAAAGAGACAGAGACAGGCACAGAAUUCUUUCUUUCUUAGACCAAUCAAAAUCACACAUUUUUGCUUCCCUUAUGGUGAACUGAAGCAAUCACUCAGUAAUUGUCUGCCCUAACUACAGUUUACAAGGCUGUCUUUUUUUUUUUUUUUUUUUUUAAGACAGUGUCUCAUUCUGUAGCCCAGGUUAGAGGAAGCUGAGGUUUAAGACAGCUUAAACCUCUACCCUGGGCAACAACUAUGAUCACAGUGGUGUUAACAUAACUCACUGCAGCUUCAAAUCCCUGGGCUUGAGCUAUCCCCCUGCAUCAGCCUUCCAUGUAGCUGGGACUGCAUGCACCUGUCACCACAUCCGGCUUAUUAUUAUUAUUAUUAUUAUUUUUUUUUAGAGACACAGUCUCUAUGUUGCCCGGGCUGAUCUCAAACUCCUAGCUUCAAGCCAUCCUCCUCCCUCUGCCUCCCAAAUGCUAGGAUUACAGAUGCGAGCCACUGCACCUGGCCUAAGGCUUUCCUUUUUGAGAGAGGGAUCUUUACAAUUCAGCCAAUUAAGUUUUCUUCACCAUUUUCUCUGCUUGUGGAUAAUCUCUUUUUGCAAUUGGAAGCCCUCUGAGGGUUUACAUGGAACAUCACACCACGUGAAAUUAUCAACCACUAGGCUAUAUUUUUUCCAUGGUUUCAAAAAUAGAGAAAGAAAAUGAAGCCUAUUGUUCUUGCAUGUUUGUUUGUUUAGGGUUUUUGUUUAUUUUUUUCCCAUAAGAUAAGUAGCAUCUAUGAUUUUCAGUCUCUUUGCUUCUUUGUACUUCAUACCAUCCUCCAUUUAAUUGCCACAAUCUGAAUUCCCAUUUAUUUAUUUUUAAGAUGGAGUUUUGCUCUUGCUGCCCAGGCUGGAGUGCAAUGGUGAUAUCUGCACUCACUGCAACCUCUGCCUCCCAAGUUCAAGCGAUUCUCUUGUCUCAGCCUCCUGAGUAGUUGGGAUUACAGGCAAGCACCACCAUGCCCGGCUAAUUUUUUGUAUUUUUAAUAAAGAUGGGGUUCCACCAUGUUGGCCAGGCUGGUUUCGAACUCCUGACUUCAGGUGAUCCACCCGCCUCAGCCUCCCAAAGUGCGGCAAUUACAGGCAUAAGCCACCACACCGGGCCAUCACAAUCUGAAUUCUUAAAAUACUCUUAAUUCAAAUAUUUAUUCUCUUCAUUGGAUGCCGAGUUCAGUCAGCUCAUAGAUGUUUUUCCAAAAGUGUUUGUCUGAUUUUAAAUCUUCAAAUAAACCAUUUUGUUUCUGAAUUAAUAAGAACAUUUGUCCUAAUUAAUUUAUCUAAUUCUGAACCAAGAUGUUGUCCCUUGGGUAUUCUAGGAUACGUUGAACCAUGAAUGUUCAGGUUGAUUGUUUUAUCAUAUGUCUAUGUAUUUAUUGUCUCAAUUACAUGCAAUUCUUUCUUUGGGAACUUUGAUAAAUGGCCCAAAGACAUUCAUGCUUGGAAAUGGGAAAAUUUUUAAUGUCUUUCCUCUCUUGUGUGUUUGUCUAGUAGGAUGGAUAUUUUGAAUAUAAAAACUGUUUUUAGAGGUAGUGGAAACGACUUUUAAUUAAACUAAACUCUUCAAAUAUUUUGAAGGAUAUGUGUACAUUUAAGUUUGUUUGCUGAGAAGUCUGUUUGUGUUUAGAAGUCUGCCAGGAUCAAAAGAAGUAAAUACAA